Phrynosoma platyrhinos (Desert horned lizard) is the source of this 72-nucleotide non-coding RNA. NCBI's taxonomy places the organism in Eukaryota, Metazoa, Chordata, Lepidosauria, Squamata, Phrynosomatidae. The record is from the annotation of a GenBank genome assembly.
GCCAAUGUGGUGUAAUGGUUUGAGCUUUGAACUGCAACUCUGAAGGUCAGGGUUUGAAUUCCUGCUUGGCCA